AAUCAUUAUCGCCUUAUCGCUUGCAAAUGCAAGAGGAAAGUCCGGACAACACAGAGCACCAUACUUCUUAACGGGAAGAGUUUGUGAAAAUUAGAUAGUGCCACAGAAAAUAACCGCCAUUAUGGUAAGGGUGAAAAUGUGAGGUAAGAGCUCACAGGGUUUUAUAGUAAUAUAGAAUUCGGGUAAACCUUAUGGGUUGAAAGAUCAAAUAUACCAAGUUGUAUUUAUACUAAUAGUUGCUCGCUAUAACUUGAGGGGUAGAUCGUUUGAAUUUAUUAGUAAUAAUAAAUCUAGAUAAAUGAUAAGGACUUAUAACUAAGUACAGAAUCCGGCUUAUAGAUUUUGAUUAUAA
RNAcentral lists this RNase P RNA (352 nucleotides) under Flavobacteriales bacterium TMED113. Its description in RNAcentral is "RNase P RNA component class A". It matches the Rfam family "Bacterial RNase P class A". From Rfam's summary of the family: Ribonuclease P (RNase P) is a ubiquitous endoribonuclease, found in archaea, bacteria and eukarya as well as chloroplasts and mitochondria. Its best characterised activity is the generation of mature 5'-ends of tRNAs by cleaving the 5'-leader elements of precursor-tRNAs. Lineage: Bacteria; Pseudomonadati; Bacteroidota; Flavobacteriia; Flavobacteriales. The record is from RNAcentral.